RNAcentral lists this ribosomal RNA (465 nucleotides) under Vreelandella stevensii. RNAcentral's name for it is "partial 16S ribosomal RNA". It matches the Rfam family "Bacterial small subunit ribosomal RNA", at positions 338 to 795 of the family's 1533-position model. The record is from RNAcentral. Lineage: Bacteria; Pseudomonadati; Pseudomonadota; Gammaproteobacteria; Oceanospirillales; Halomonadaceae.
CCUACGGGGGGCAGCAGUGGGGAAUAUUGGACAAUGGGCGAAAGCCUGAUCCAGCCAUGCCGCGUGUGUGAAGAAGGCCUUCGGGUUGUAAAGCACUUUUAGUGGGGAAGAAAGCCUUGGGGCUAAUACCCUCGAGGAAGGACAUCACCCACAGAAGAAGCACCGGCUAACUCCGUGCCAGCAGCCGCGGUAAUACGGAGGGUGCGAGCGUUAAUCGGAAUUACUGGGCGUAAAGCGCGCGUAGGCGGUCUGAUAAGCCGGUUGUGAAAGCCCCGGGCUCAACCUGGGAACGGCAUCCGGAACUGUCAGGCUAGAGUGCAGGAGAGGAAGGUAGAAUUCCCGGUGUAGCGGUGAAAUGCGUAGAGAUCGGGAGGAAUACCAGUGGCGAAGGCGGCCUUCUGGACUGACACUGACGCUGAGGUGCGAAAGCGUGGGUAGCAAACAGGAUUAGAUACCCGUGUAGUC